AGAGUUUGAUCCUGGCUCAGGGUUAACGCUGGCGGCGUGCCUAACACAUGCAAGUCGAGCGAGGGCUGGUCUUCCGCAAGGGAGGCGAGUACCUAGCGGCGAACGGGUGAGUAACACGUGGGCAACCUGUCCUCUUGUGGGGGAUAACACCGAGAAAUCGGUGCUAAUACCGCAUGACAUCGUUGGAGGCAUCUCUGGCG
RNAcentral lists this ribosomal RNA (200 nucleotides) under uncultured bacterium. Its description in RNAcentral is "partial 16S ribosomal RNA". It matches the Rfam family "Bacterial small subunit ribosomal RNA", at positions 8 to 199 of the family's 1533-position model. The record is from RNAcentral.